This 206-nucleotide long non-coding RNA is filed under the name Lathyrus oleraceus (garden pea). RNAcentral's name for it is "Pisum sativum (pea) long non-coding RNA (PSAT_LNC036143)". Lineage: Eukaryota; Viridiplantae; Streptophyta; Magnoliopsida; Fabales; Fabaceae. The record is from RNAcentral.
UCUAUUCUUGUUCUCGGCAAUCUCCACCAUACGACCCCAUUUGUCAAUGCUGCCAGCCUCAAUAGCCUCUCAUGCAUCCUUCAAAGAAGACAUGGGUGCCCUAGUUUUCUUCAUUUCAUCAACAAUAGAUAAGGCUUGGAACAAUGUUCCAACCUCCUUCUCAACAUCAACAUAAGUGAAAGAUGACAGAUGGCUCACCAGCAAUG